This is a long non-coding RNA of Salvelinus sp. IW2-2015, 1519 nucleotides long. RefSeq lists it as uncharacterized. NCBI's taxonomy places the organism in Eukaryota, Metazoa, Chordata, Actinopteri, Salmoniformes, Salmonidae. The record is from RefSeq and is a predicted model, not a curated record.
GUCAUUUUGUUUGGUUUCUUGGUCCUUGACACACACACAUAUAUUUGUGCAYAGAUACACAGUCACACACCCAGACUCAAACCCUCACAUGGCUCCUCAUCUCUCCGUUUUCGUCCUCCUCGUCAUUUUUUCCAGACUAUCAGUAAUGUCAAUGCCGUUGACCGAAGACACCGAAGACUCAUACUUAACAUCAGCGUACAGCAUGUACAGAUCUGAAGACGUCAUUAGAUUACUCUACAGAUUGGAGCGAACACUCUUCUACCUGAUGAAAAUUGUUAAUGCAAUGCUCUUCCUCCUGUGCACCAUCAUUGCUGUGGUGAACUUCAAGGUUAACCGACUUCGAGGUGAAAUUCAGGAUAGUUAGAAACCAGACAGGUCUCUCUGGUGAGAACAGAUGUUGUGUGACCAUACAAUUGUGUUUUAAGGUCCAGUAUUCACCAGCGAGAUGUUUUUUUUUUGUUACAGCCAAACAUUUAUUUCAAUCGGAAUGUUUUAUUCAUUUGUUUUACUGGUGAUUGAAGCUAAAACUACACUGUUGUGCACGAUUAUUAGGCAAAUUAGUAUUCUGAUCUUAUCAUUAUUUCUAUGGACAUUKUCCAACUCCAAACCAUAUAAACUUGAAUGCUUAUUGGAUGUARUCAUUUUCAGGUGAUAUGUAUUUGUGUGAUGAGGGAGGGUGUGGCGAAAGUGAAUAACACCUUAYAUCAAGGUGUGCAUAAUUAUUAGACAGCAUCAUUACCUMAGGUAAAAUGGGCCACAAAAUGUAUUUAACUGACACCGAAAAGUCAAAAAUGUGUAAAAUGCCUUUCAGACGGACRCAACACUCUUGAAAUAGCUCAACUAUUGAGGCGUGACCACCGGACAAUCAAACGUUUUGUUGAGAAUAUUCAACUGGGGCGCAAAAAACCCAUGGAGAAGAAAAGGCGCAAAUUAACUGCAAAAGACUUGAGAAUAMUUCAACGUCAAGCUACCAGGAAACCAUUAUCCUCCAGUGCCACCAUAUUCCAGAACUGCAAUCUACCUGGAGAGUCCAGAAAUACAAGGUGUCACGUGCUCAGAGACAUGGACAAGGUCAAGAAGGCURAAACACGACCGCCACUGAAUAAGAUUCACAAGUUGAAGCGUCAAGAUUGGGCAAAGAAAUACCUGAAGACAGAUUUUUCAAAGGUUUUAUGGACAGAUKAAAUGAGAGUGACUCUUGAUGGACCAGAUGGAUGGGCCCGUGGCUGGAUCRAUARUGGACACAGGGCACCACUUCGAGUCAGGAGCCAGCRAGGUGGAGGAGGGUACUGGUAUGGGCUGCUAUUUAUUUUAUUUCACCUUUAUUUAACCAGGUAGGCUAGUUGAGAACAAGUUCUCAUUUACAACUGCGACCUGGCCAAGAUAAAGCAUAGCAGUGUGAACAGACAACAACACAGAGUUACACAWGGAGUAAACAAUARACAAGUCAAUAACACAGUAGGGGGGAAAAAUGAGUCUAUAUACAUUGUGUGCAAAAGGCAUGAGGAGGUAGGCAAUA